CAUUGGCCUUGAUCAGAGAACUUUGUCUUGGCUCCUUAUUUCUCUCGAAGCCUUUCCCAUCCAAACCCCCAUCUUUGCUUUCAGGAACUCAGUACCCCGUGGUCGCUGGCAGCUACACGAGUGCACUGCGAAUCCCACAAAUCUCUUGAAACCUCAAAGAUCAACCCCUGAGACACAGCUCCUCCAACAGCAGCGCUACAGCCUCCAAUCCCUCCCAAAUAGUUCCACCAACUGGUAGGUAUCAUAGUGUUGAAUUCUGUGUAUGGCACAGACAUGAGUGUUUGGAUGGCUUCAGCCAGGAGAGGAGACACCAGACAGUACAACCCAAGAAGAAAUCCUAAGACGCUGCAAAUUAGGAAAUGCAACGGAGCACUCAAUAUGGUUGAUGGGCAUUUAAUCUCGGAAAGAGGUAAAGUCAGAGAACUCUGCAAGUAAUGUUCCAGCACUGAGUGACCAUAAGGGAAGAAGCUGGCACAGAGGAAAGGAAAGCAUUCUCCUGGACAUCAGACCAGUAUAGACUGCAGAAUAAGGCAACAGAGGAGAAGAAAACUAAACGCGCUCUGCCUGGUGAGAGGCUUGCUAUGCCAAGACUUACCCGCUCCACCUUGUCCUUCGUCGUCCAGGGCUCAAAUGGACUCAGCCCAAAGAGUUUGCCAAUCCAGCUGCAAUGGAAGUACAUACGGCGUGUGUGAGAGGCGUCUGGGCUGGGUUUCAGCCUACUGGACCCCCAGGAAAAGAGGGGCUGCUGUAAGCGAGAACUUGCUAAGUUUGUCAUUGUUUUCUGAGAAAAUAACAACUUCCUGGCUCUACUACCUGUUGUGGAGACAGAUCUAACUCA
Long non-coding RNA from Mus musculus (house mouse), 838 nucleotides. RefSeq annotates it as RIKEN cDNA 1700018A23 gene. Lineage: Eukaryota; Metazoa; Chordata; Mammalia; Rodentia; Muridae. The record is from RefSeq and is a predicted model, not a curated record. The transcript is spliced from 4 exons.